Molecule: ribosomal RNA, 251 nt
Filed under: uncultured bacterium
Lineage: Bacteria
Description: partial 16S ribosomal RNA
Rfam family: Bacterial small subunit ribosomal RNA
Source: RNAcentral
AAGUGGUGACACGAAGCAAAUCCGAGAAAUAAACGUCUCAGUUCGGAUUGUAGUCUGCAACUCGACUACAUGAAGCUGGAAUCGCUAGUAAUCGCGAAUCAGCAUGCCGCGGUGAAUACGUUCCCGGGCCUUGUACACACCGCCCGUCACACCAUGAGAGUCGGGAACACCCGAAGUCCGUAGCCUAACCGAAAGGGGGGGCGCGGCCGAAGGUGGGUUCGAUAAUUGGGGUGAAGUCGUAACAAGGUACC